AAAAUGGACGCAUCCCCCUUGCAAGCAUAAUUGCAAAUAAUAUUUAAUUGGAGUGUUAAGGACGAAGGACAAUGGAAAGCAAGAAUAGCGCAACACUCGAAACCCUUCCUCGAAAUAAUUAUAAUUCCCAAGUGGUCAAAAACAGAACACUUACCCAAAACGUUCCAUUAUAAAUCGAUUUCAAGUAAACACGCAACUCAAUGUAAUCAGUUUAUAAAAUAAAAACACAUGAAAUUAAAUCUAUAUAUUGUAUAUUCAGGAAUUGAUAUAUUAGUGAAUAACUAGCGAGAACGAAAAAAAGUGGAAAAAGAGCGACUUAAAAAUAACUAUUUACUUAGUACCUAGUUACUCCUCAUUUUUUUUGGAUGUUGUGUAGAUUCGUGAACCACCGCAUGAAAGAAAACCACCAAAAUAAAAAACUAACUAAUAUACAAUCCCACAGACUAUUUACCUAUAGAACAGAAUCCAAUGCAAUUAGAAAGUGGAAAUCCUCAGGUGCUUUUCGAACUAGCUCGUUUUUCCAUUUACCAGUUACCAUUUAACCCUGAUUGCUUCAAUCAACCAGUGCAAUCAAAAUUGAAGAGAGUUGACAAAUAUACCAUGUACCUAAAAACAAAAAAACAAGCAAAAAUCCAACAUUAAAGAUUUAGUGGAAAAGUGAAAAAUAUAACAAUGAAAAUGAUACCUAGGCUAAGAGCAAAACGAUUUAUCGCCAAACCAGCAUUAAAACGAAGUGGAAAUUCAACUAUUUUUGAACUGGGCCGGCUGCUUGCCCAGCCCAGCAGGUCAGCCAGCCUUUAGUUCGAGUAGCCAGACCCGAAAUCCGAAGCCCCAAUUAAUAAUAAUACUACACACAUGACGAACAACUUGAGAAUUUGAGGAUUUCUUCAAUUUUAUUUCGGCUUUGUGUGGGGUAACGUAGUGCAAUUCGAUGAAAUCGAAUAUUUGGAAAGUCUGUAUCGGUUAGAUUCAUUCAUAUUUUGCAAACAGUAAACAAAUAAUUGGAUUUUAAAUUUGCUAAUAUCUCCUCAUUUGUUUUAUUUUCUUCUCUAAGCAUUAUAGAAAAAACGUAAUUAAUUUAGUCUUAUAUUUACAAAAGAUUAAGGCAUUAUUUUGGCACCCUUGAUUAAGAAUGGAAAUAUGAAUUGAAGAGAUCGCCGCACUCUCAAGUCGUUGGAGUUUUCUUUUAUAUAAGUCUCGAUGUUGUUGUUUCUCAUAGAGUGUACACAUAAACAUAGGAUAUAUCGUCGUCAUAAAUAUAUUUAGAAUGUACAUAACAAAAUACUCGAAUAUUUAAUUUACUCUCUGUGUUCCUCUGUUCGAACCGGAAACGAGCUUGCGCCUUCUUAGCACUCCAGGAAAAUGAAGAAAAUUCCCCAAUAUUCAAUAUGCUCUGGGAGGAUAGCUAAGGAGACCCCUAACAAAAAUUUCCCUUUUCCUCUAAUUUGACCUGAGAAAAUGUCGCUGGACGACGAAGGAAAAAUACAAAAGACGUGUGUAAAACAAAACUAGAGAAUUUUUUUUAUUAUUAAACAUAGUCAAGGAUAAUCAACACGAGAUGAUGGAGAAUUUGGCCGAUGCUGGCAAAAAUGAUGAUGAGAAAGCAAGGAUGUAAAAGAUAUAUUUAUAGAAAUGAGCUAUAUGUAUACAUGCUGACAGAUUAAUUAUAUGAUUAUAUAGUAACUUAUUGUCACAACGCAAGAGCAAUCAAUGUUUAACUUUAUUAAAUGUUACAAAGAGUUUUAAAUAUUAAAUAUACUUAAUGAAAUAUAUACAGAUAUACCUAUAUAUUGCAGAUUAUAUUCUAUACAUAUAAUUUGUAGGUGAAGCUGAGAUGAAUAAAAUACUAGUCGUACUCGUAGUUCGCCAUUAUGUUUGCCAAAAACCGGAGAUAUAUGUAAGAAAAGUUGUGUCAGCCAUUGCAGAAGUUCGAGGGAAAUUAUUAAGCAAAAGCUUUUCCAGAAUCUCAUAAAAAUCCAUUUGUAAAUCUAUUGUACCCGCCAAAUAAAUAAUAGUGAACAACAAUCCUUAUAUUCAAAAUAUACAAACCAAAAAAAGAAAGAAAUUUUGGAAAGGCAAAUUUAAAACAACAAAUGAAAAAAAAUUACCGGGCUGGCACUCUUUCUAAUUUUUUUGUUAGCAUUUAUUUCAAAAUCGUUAUUUCUUGUGUCUUAGCAAUAAUAAUAUAAUUAAAAUGUGUGUGUCGCUCUGUAACUGUAUCUAUUGUGUUUGAGAUUACUCGUAUCUUAUAAUGAAUAUUAUUACUAAACUAAAGCAAAGGAAACAAAAAAAAAAGAAAAGUAAGAAAGCAAAAACGCAGGAGACGCGGUAUGGCAUCCACAACAGAAAUUAAAAUUACUAAUUAAAACGAUUACUUACAGUAGACUUAAGAAUACAAAGAUUAAAUAAAGAAAACGAUUUCCUUACAUUAA
Long non-coding RNA from Drosophila sechellia, 2432 nucleotides. RefSeq lists it as uncharacterized. The record is from RefSeq and is a predicted model, not a curated record. The transcript has 2 exons. Lineage: Eukaryota; Metazoa; Arthropoda; Insecta; Diptera; Drosophilidae.